This is a non-coding RNA of Cordylochernes scorpioides, 108 nucleotides long. NCBI's taxonomy places the organism in Eukaryota, Metazoa, Arthropoda, Arachnida, Pseudoscorpiones, Chernetidae. The record is from the annotation of a GenBank genome assembly.
UGUCCAAUGCGGGGAUCGAACCCGGGUCGUAGUGGUCGUAAACCAAACGGUUUAACCAGCCUUCCACCGACCCCCUCAUAUUAAGUGAAGAUAUUAAGCCAAUAAGAC